AUGAACGCUGGCGGCGUGCCUAGUACAUGCAAGUCGAGCGAACAGAUAAGGAGCUUGCUCCUUUGACGUUAGCGGCGGACGGGUGAGUAACACGUGGGUAACCUACCUAUAAGACUGGAAUAACUCCGGGAAACCGGGGCUAAUGCCGGAUAACAUUUAGAACCGCAUGGUUCUAAAGUGAAAGAUGGUUUUGCUAUCACUUAUAGAUGGACCCGCGCCGUAUUAGCUAGUUGGUAAGGUAACGGCUUACCAAGGCAACGAUACGUAGCCGACCUGAGAGGGUGAUCGGCCACACUGGAACUGAGACACGGUCCAGACUCCUACGGGAGGCAGCAGUAGGGAAUCUUCCGCAAUGGGCGAAAGCCUGACGGAGCAACGCCGCGUGAGUGAUGAAGGUCUUCGGAUCGUAAAACUCUGUUAUUAGGGAAGAACAAAUGUGUAAGUAACUGUGCACGUCUUGACGGUACCUAAUCAGAAAGCCACGGCUAACUACGUG
This 496-nucleotide ribosomal RNA is filed under the name uncultured bacterium. RNAcentral describes it as "partial 16S ribosomal RNA". It matches the Rfam family "Bacterial small subunit ribosomal RNA", at positions 29 to 507 of the family's 1533-position model. The record is from RNAcentral.